Non-coding RNA from Paramuricea clavata, 479 nucleotides. The record is from the annotation of a GenBank genome assembly. Lineage: Eukaryota; Metazoa; Cnidaria; Anthozoa; Malacalcyonacea; Plexauridae.
CACGGCAUGCAUGCGUCUUCCGGUGUGCGGAAGUACUCUUACUUAUGGAUACUGCAUGUAAGGUACAGCCAAACGAACCUCCUUGGAGUCCCAUACUUAACGUGGCUUUUCGACUAAAAAAUGACUGUAGGGCCCUUUAAUAAUGUGAGAAUCAAAUUGAAACCUUGACACCCCCCCCCGGCAUACCCCCGGGAAUUUGGAUUUUGACGUUUUGGUCAUGUCAAAUUCCCUACAUACAUUUGUAUUUCCCGUUCAAAUACACCACGUAUUGUGAAAAAUUGGAGUUCAAAUACCCCACCCCAUGUAUGAAUUAGAAGCUACAGCAUUUUGUAAUUUUGGAAUUACAAAGUUUGUCUUUCCUUCAGAGACUCUCUUCAAUCGUUCAAAGCCAUUUUCUUGUAGCCAACCAACCUAAGAUAUGUCCAUUGUUAGCAUAAUAUGAAAUAAUUUUACCGGCCUAUUCAUAUGUUCACCUGACU